Capsicum annuum is the source of this 653-nucleotide long non-coding RNA. RefSeq lists it as uncharacterized. The record is from RefSeq and is a predicted model, not a curated record. The transcript is spliced from 3 exons. Lineage: Eukaryota; Viridiplantae; Streptophyta; Magnoliopsida; Solanales; Solanaceae.
AAAGGGUUUUGAAUAGGUUAUUUAUGCAUAUCAAGUGGAUUUUUAACCACAAAUACAAUUGGACCAAAGUUACUGUAUUCCGACGAACCAGUAGGUAGAAUGGUGCGCCCCGUGCGAUGAGCUCCCUGGAGUCCACUUUGUGGGGAAUUCACUGGGUUACACUUGACAUUGAUCAUCACGGCUACGGUAUGCUGUUGGAUGAUGUGAGUUUGCCCCCAUCACACACAAAAUAAAACAUAGACGACAACAUGAGUUCACGUGUUUGACUUGAAGCCUGGUAGUAGUAAGAUGUUUCGUCAUGUUUCCGGUAUUGUUCAAAGGGAUUGUAUAAGAGAGAAAUUAUUAAUGCAAAGUGUGGGCUACCUAUAAGAUUAACUUCUGCUGAGGAAUUUACGUUUAGCAAGUUACAUGAUUGUUGUCCCAUAAACGCUAGGAUGACCUUGAAUGUUUGUUUUGAGUAUGAAAUAUAUGCAUAAUUGCGUGUUUUAUAUCUGAACCUACUUAAUCUCAGAGGCUUAAAUUUUGCAAGUGUCCAGCUAAUUUUUCUGUAAAAGAUCUUCAUUUUCAAUGUCAAACAACCUAUGUUGCUUCGGACUCUUCAAAAAAGUCAACGGGUGUAACAUUGAAAGUGAAGAGUCCGCGCAACUUAGCAA